AAUAGAUACCCGGGUAGUCCACGCCCUAAACGAUGCGAACUGGAUGUUGGGUUCAACUUGGAACCCAGUAUCGAAGCUAACGCGUUAAGUUCGCCGCCUGGGGAGUACGGUCGCAAGACUGAAACUCAAAGGAAUUGACGGGGGCCCGCACAAGCGGUGGAGUAUGUGGUUUAAUUCGAUGCAACGCGAAGAACCUUACCUGGUCUUGACAUCCGCGGAACUUUCCAGAGAUGGAUUGGUGCCUUCGGGAACCGUGAGACAGGUGCUGCAUGGCUGUCGUCAGCUCGUGUCGUGAGAUGUUGGGUUAAGUCCCGCAACGAGCGCAACCCUUGUCCUUAGUUGCCAGCACGUAAUGGUGGAACUCUAAGGAGACCGCCGGUGACAAACCGGAGGAAGGUGGGAUGACGUCAAGUCAUCAUGGCCCUUACGACCAGGGCUACACACGUACUACAAUGGUGGGACAGAGGGCUGCAAUCCCGCGAGGGUGAGCCAAUCCCAGAAACCCCAUCUCAGUCCGGAUCGGAGUCUGCAACUCGACU
RNAcentral lists this ribosomal RNA (539 nucleotides) under uncultured bacterium. Its description in RNAcentral is "bacterial SSU rRNA". It matches the Rfam family "Bacterial small subunit ribosomal RNA", at positions 777 to 1317 of the family's 1533-position model. The record is from RNAcentral.